GAGUUUGAUCAUGGCUCAGAACGUACGCUGGCGGCACGCCUAACACAUGCAAGUCGAACGAAGUAGCAAUACUUAGUGGCAGACGGGUGAGUAACAUGUAGGUAUCUGCCCUUUGGCCUGGAAUAACACGAGGAAACUUGUGCUAAUACCGGAUAAGUCUUUACGGAGAAAGCUUUAUGCACCAUUGGAUGAGCCUGCACUUGAUUAGUUUGUUGGUGGGGUAAUGGCCUACCAAGACUGUGAUCAAUAGCUGAUUUGAGAGGAUGAUCAGCCACAUUGGGACUGAGACACGGCCCAAACUCCUACGGGAGGCAGCAGUGGGGAAUCUUGCACAAUGGAGGAAACUCUGAUGCAGCGAUGCCGCGUGAGUGAAGAAGGCCCUUGGGUUGUAAAGCUCUUUCGUCGGGGAAGAAAAUGACUGUACCCGAAUAAGAAGGUCCGGCUAACUUCGUGCCAGCAGCCGCGGUAAUACGAAGGGACCUAGCGUAGUUCGGAAUUACUGGGCUUAAAGAGUUCGUAGGUGGUUGAAAAAGUUAGUGGUGAAAUCCCAGAGCUUAACUCUGGAACUGCCAUUAAAACUUUUCAGCUAGAGUAUGAUAGAGGAAAGCAGAAUUUCUAGUGUAGAGGUGAAAUUCGUAGAUAUUAGAAAGAAUACCAAUUGCGAAGGCAGCUUUCUGGAUCAUUACUGACACUGAGGAACGAAAGCAUGGGUAGCGAAGAGGAUUAGAUACCCUCGUAGUCCAUGCCGUAAACGAUGUGUGUUAGACGUUGGAAAUUUAUUUUCAGUGUCGCAGGGAAACCGAUAAACACACCGCCUGGGGAGUACGACCGCAAGGUUAAAACUCAAAUGAAUUGACGGGGACCCGCACAAGUAGUGGAGCAUGUGGUUUAAUUCGAAGAUACGCGCAGAACCUUACCAACACUUGACAUGUUCGUCGCGACUCUAAGAGAUUAGAGUUUUCGGUUCGGCCGGACGAAACACAGGUGCUGCAUGGCUGUCGUCAGCUCGUGUCGUGAGGUGUUGGGUUAAGUCCCGCAACGAGCGCAACCCUCACUUUUAGUUGCCAUCAUUAAGUUGGGCACUCUGAAAGAACUGCCAGUGAUAAGCUGGAGGAAGGUGGGGAUGACGUCAAGUCCUCAUGGCCCUUACGUGUUGGGCUACACACGUGCUACAAUGGUAUCUACAACAGGAAGCAAGACUGCGAAGUUAAGCAAAUCCCUAAAAGAUACCUCAGUUCGGAUUGCACUCUGCAACUCGAGUGCAUGAAGCUGGAAUUACUAGUAAUCGUGGAUCAGCGUGCCACGGUGAAUGCGU
RNAcentral lists this ribosomal RNA (1315 nucleotides) under unidentified marine bacterioplankton. Its description in RNAcentral is "bacterial SSU rRNA". It matches the Rfam family "Bacterial small subunit ribosomal RNA", at positions 9 to 1371 of the family's 1533-position model. The record is from RNAcentral.